RNAcentral lists this ribosomal RNA (1534 nucleotides) under uncultured bacterium. Its description in RNAcentral is "partial 16S rRNA". It matches the Rfam family "Bacterial small subunit ribosomal RNA". The record is from RNAcentral.
AGAGUUUGAUCAUGGCUCAGGACGAACGCUGGCGGCGUGCCUAACACAUGCAAGUCGAACGGAGCUGAAAUGAUUUUUUUGAAGCUUGCUUUAAAGAAUGAUUUUUAGCUUAGUGGCGGACGGGUGAGUAAUGCGUGAGCAACCUGCCUGUCAGUGGGGGAUAACUUCCGGAAACGGACGCUAAUACCGCAUAUAGUACAUAAUCCGCAUGGAUAAGUGUAUGAAAGGAGCAAUCCGCUGAUAGAUGGGCUCACGUCCGAUUAGUUUGUUGGUGGGGUAACGGCCUACCAAGACUGCGAUCGGUAGCCGGGCUGAGAGGCUGAACGGCCACAUUGGGACUGAGACACGGCCCAGACUCCUACGGGAGGCAGCAGUGGGGGAUAUUGCACAAUGGGGGAAACCCUGAUGCAGCAACGCCGCGUGAGGGAUGAAGGUUUUCGGAUUGUAAACCUCUGUCCUUAGUGAAGAAAAAAAUGACGGUAACUAAGGAGGAAGCUCCGGCUAACUACGUGCCAGCAGCCGCGGUAAUACGUAGGGAGCAAGCGUUGUCCGGAUUUAUUGGGUGUAAAGGGUGCGUAGGCGGCUAUGUAAGUCAGACGUGUAAUGCAGAGGCUUAACCUCUGAACUGCGUUUGAAACUGUGUAGCUUGAGUGGAGUAGAGGCAGAUGGAAUUUCCAGUGUAGCGGUGAAAUGCGUAGAUAUUGGAAGGAACACCAGUGGCGAAGGCGAUCUGCUGGGCUCUAACUGACGCUGAUGCACGAAAGCAUGGGGAGCAAACAGGAUUAGAUACCCUGGUAGUCCAUGCCGUAAACGAUGUCAAUUAGGAGCUUGGGCAAAAGUCUGGGUUCCGCAGCUAACGCAAUAAAUUGACCGCCUGGGGAGUACGGCCGCAAGGUUAAAACUCAAAUGAAUUGACGGGGGCCCGCACAAGCGGUGGAGCAUGUGGUUUAAUUCGACGCAACGCGAAGAACCUUACCUGAUCUUGACAUCGUAAGAACCUCACUGAAGGGUGAGGGUGCCUUCGGGAACUUACAGACAGGUGCUGCAUGGCUGUCGUCAGCUCGUGUCGUGAGAUGUUGGGUUAAGUCCCGCAACGAGCGCAACCCUUGUCCUUUGUUGCCAGCGGGUAAAGCCGGGAACUCAAAGGAGACUGCCAGUGACAAACUGGAGGAAGGCAGGGAUGACGUCAAGUCAUCAUGGCCCUUACGGUCAGGGCUACACACGUGCUACAAUGGGGCGUACAGAGGGAAACGAUACCGCGAGGUGGAGUGGAACCCAAAAAGCGUCCCUAAGUUCGGAUUGGAGUCUGCAACUCGACUCCAUGAAGUCGGAAUCGCUAGUAAUCGCAAAUCAGAAUGUUGCGGUGAAUACGUUCCCGGGUCUUGUACACACCGCCCGUCACACCAUGGGAGUCAGAAAUGCCCGAAGCCCGUGAGCUAACCGCAAGGGAGCAGCGGUCGAAGGCAGGUCUGGUGACUGGGGUGAAGUCGUAACAAGGUAGCCGUAUCGGAAGGUGCGGCUGGAUCACCUCCUU